Lolium perenne is the source of this 743-nucleotide long non-coding RNA. RefSeq lists it as uncharacterized. The record is from RefSeq and is a predicted model, not a curated record. NCBI's taxonomy places the organism in Eukaryota, Viridiplantae, Streptophyta, Magnoliopsida, Poales, Poaceae.
ACCUACCCCUCACAACGCCUCCUCUCUCCUCCCCUUUCAUCCAUCUCCGCCACCGGCCUAGAUCCGGGCCAACUCCGGCCACUUCCUACCCCGCCUACCGUCUCCCAGGAGCCCGACCCCCCUCUCUACAUCCCACUUCGCUGAACCACCAAACCACAUCUCCAAGGCUCCAACAGAAACCCUAGCCCGGUACAAAGAGGAGCAGGAGGUCCUGGCGACGGUUGCGCCCUGGCAGCGGGUUACGGUGAUCAGGAUCGGCGACCAGAUUCACCCCGCGGGGCAGGUACAGCCGGACUUGAUGCUAGAAACUAUCGGCGAUCAGUGUGGCACAUGCACUCGAGCAGCGUAUUACAACAUUGAACGGACACUAUAUUUUCUUCUUCAGAAGGAGAGACCUGAUGGAGCGCAUCAAGCCCGGCCAUGGUACACAUGCGUGCAGGCUGGGAAGCAAAUCUAUACACAUGCUUGCUUUGAUUAUAUACUCCAGUAUAUACUAUACCAUUAACGGAAAUAUAUGAGUGAGGUGAAGAUCAGCUGGAGUAUACAUGUAUUGAAGCUUUUCAUAGGACCUUGAAAAAACAAUUAUAUGGAUAUUAAUUUUUUUAUUUCGUUCAGUUAGGUUUCUUGCCUCUAGAACGUGUAAUAUGUAUUUUCAUAUAUGAAAUGUUUGAUUGGCAUACGUGUUUUAUGUAUACAUUUGCGUCGUGUACUAUUUAUUAUAUUACGUAGAUUCUUUGGUUUUU